This 3944-nucleotide long non-coding RNA is filed under the name Sus scrofa (pig). Its description in RNAcentral is "lncRNA (ENSSSCG00000056266.1)". The record is from RNAcentral. Lineage: Eukaryota; Metazoa; Chordata; Mammalia; Artiodactyla; Suidae.
UUUUUUUUUUUUUUUUUUUUUGGUCUUUCUGUUUUUUUCUUGGGCCGAACUUGCAGCAUAUGAAGGUUCCCAGGCUAGGAGUCUAAUCAGAGCUGUAUCUGCAGGCCUAUGCCACAACCACAGCAACAUGGGAUCUGAGCCAUGUCUGCGACCUACACCACAGGUCAUGGCAACGCCAGAUCCUUAACCCACUGAGCGAGGCCACGGAUCGGAGCCACAACUUCAUGGUUCCUAGUCGGAUUUAUUAACCACUGAGCCACGACGGGAACUCCACUGAUAGGAUUUUUAAAGUAGAAGAGACUUGAGAGUGUUUAUACGCUAAAGAUACAGAACAAUGGAGAGGGGAAAAUUGAAGAUGAGGAGGAGAGGAGAAAAUUGAUGGAAUGAGGUUGUCAAGGAAAUGAGUGAGUAAGAGAUUAAGAGCCCAAUUAUGCAUUUGGGCACAGAAAACAAGUGAAAUGGCCCUUCCUCUGAAGCUUAGGGUCAGAUGGCAGUAUAGAUAUAAUUCCUAUCUCAGCUACUUUGAUAAACAUGACUGGGGAGCGCCUAAGUAGGGUCUUGAGAAUAGCAGUGAAUCGUGGAUCAGCUUCUCUGCAAAUCAAGAGAACAAGGCUGUAAGAUUACAGGCAAUAUCAAUAAUCCACUGGCAGUUAAAGACUAUGAAAAUAUAAUAGCACAAAUCUCAUUCACUGUAUGGUUUUUCUCCCGUAGUUCUCAGCAGAGUAUAUAUUAGGUUCAGAGUUGUCUCCCCCCCCGCCCAGGGAAGAUAUGGCAGAACAAUAAAAUAAAACCAGGAAGAUGAUAAGGAGUGAGAAAGUGGAAAUUAUGAUUCUGAAAUUAUCAUUUGUCUAGAACUGUAAGCCCUAGAACAGAGGUGAAAGUUCUUGGAGUUAGGAGUUAAAGGAAUUGAGAUUAGAUGUGAGUUGCUAUGGAAUGAAGCCUGAAACUAAGGCUCAGUAGGAUGUGCUGCCUUGACAUCUGGUAAAAUAAGAAGGGCCUCAAAUACCCUAAUCACAAGCUUCCCUCACCUCCACUCUGGUCUCAGAGGUAAGACCCCCUUAAUCUAACAGCCCUCCUUAUCAAGAGACCUGAGGUAGUUUCUGCUUAUGCCUGAGUAGUGGAUUCAGUUCCCUGCCAUCCCAUAGAAUAUUCCAGCAAGCCAGUCAUCCUCCCAUGAGAAACAGGGGGAACCUACCCUCUUGGUACUAUAAAUCCUGCCUCUCACUGCCCCUGGUUGUUCACUCUAUUCCCAGGCACAACCCCUCGUGGCCCAGCAUGGCUUAUGGUGUCCUCCCCUCCUGAGCUGUGAGUGUUAUGAGUAUCAUGUGAGCUUUGGGUACCAUAUGUGUAGUUAUCCUGAUAACUCCAGGCAGGAAUACCCCCCCCCAACAGGGUGAAGAGGAGGUGAUUAAAACAGCUGAGUGUGUUUCCACCUGGACAAGAUGAUACCUGGUGGGUGGAAGCAAUGUUUUCCUCUGAAGGAAAUGAAUGUUCCCACUGUCAGUCAUCCUGCAGAGUGAAUAAUCAUGGGGCAGAAAGUGAGAAAGUUUUGUAGGCCAGGCUGGUAAUGAGGGACACAGAGUUACGGCGCUUAUCAUGGACAGUCAUGUUCUAAUUGUGUGACCUGGACCAGUUCCUAUGUGAUGGAUGAAGGCAGUCAAAUUUAGAUGGGCAGAGAGGAGGGGCAAGUCAGCAGGUGCAUUGGGAGAGUGUGACGAUCUACAAAGCUGAGGCAAAUCAUGACCCCAAUGGGGAAAGCAAGAUAGACAAGGAAAGCACGAUGGCAUGAUGUCAGGAAAGAAUCAAGGGAUAGAGUUUUAAUAAAUGUUGGAAAGCAGUUUUGAGGCAGGUGGAGCAUUGAUGGUAAGAGCAGAUAGAGAGAGAAUAUCCAGAUAACAUGAGCCUUGUCUGGGGUCUAAGACUGUCAGAAACUGCUGACUUUCCUAAUCCUCCAGCUGAGAUGCAUGGGAGAGUUGUAGGAGGUAGGAAAAAAAACAACUUAUGUCAUGAGAGACAGUUCUGUGGCAGAUGUUAAACUGGACACUGGGCAUCAUACUUCAUUUAAUUCUUUCCCAAACCAAAUAACGUGGAUAUUAUUGUCUCCUUUUUUCAAAGGUGGGAACCCAGGCCCAUAGAAAUAGGGAAACCUGGCCAAAUUCUCACAGAGACACAAAGUCCAGACUAGAACAUUCAUCUCUUUAGUCCCACUACUGUCCUACUGUGACUUCUUCAGUUCCUAUCCUUGAACAUUUUAUUUUGAGAUACUAUUAUGUUCAAAACUCUAUUUUGCACAUUGAGAAUACAGGACAUCAGGGGAUCCAAGAGCACCUUGCCUUCAAGGAGCCUACAAUGUAAUGGAAAAUAUUGCCAUAGUUGUUCCUCCAAGAGAAACAAUGACUUAUGCCAAAAGAAUUUUAAAAAAUUCGUGAUGUGAGGUCUGUUUUUACUGUAUUCUAGAUAAUGUUAUUUUCAAACCUGGUAUAAUCCUUUUGCCAAAAAUGAGAAGAGGGACCACUUUUACCAGUGAAUGUAGAAGCAUCUAUAUUUAAUCACCCUUUUGUUUUUGGAUCUUGCACUAACCCAUACAACCUAAAGCUGUAUCUGUUUCUCUUAUAAGCAACCUAGCUACAGGCAUUGUAUGUGGUUCUUUAAGAGCCUAUGAUUUUUUAUUAUCCCUUUGUGACAGUUUUCUCAGAGUUAUGCAAAUGGUAUGCCAAGUGUAGUAGACUGAAAUUUCUUCCAUUUUAUCUCUGUCCAAAUAGAAGUUGCCUCAUCUGCAUAUAACAGUUCCCUUUGCAACUCAGUCGUGGUAGAAAAUUGGAAUUCGUUUUUAUUUGCAUUUCCUGGGGAUACAGACAAGAGCAGAUGCCAAUAAUGGAUGUCAUAAUUUGCUGCCUUCUCUUUGCUGCCUAUAAAUCUUUGAAUAUUUUUCCUACAAUAGCAAGGGAAGAGAUUCAGCAAGCAUAAUGGGGAGAGAAGAGAUGUAAAUCUCAGCAGUGGUGGUGGAUUCCAGCUAUGAAUAUUUCAGAAACAAGACACUCUCUUUAAAUGAAACACUAAUGGUUUUUAAGAUGCUGAUGGGCCUGAUGUGCUUUUGAUUUCAUUUAAUAACCAAAGCUCCUGACUGCAUAACACUAGUUCCAGGUUGGUGGAUUCUAAAGAAAGUCUUUUCUCAUGUUCUGAUUUCAAAUUCUGGCCUUAUUGUAGUGUUAAAUCUUGAUUACCUACAUGCUACACCCGAGAUACACAGCUUUGCACAGUUCAAAAUUUAAGUUAUUUAUAUUUGGUAUUGAAAUGACACAUACAAAAAGUCUCUCCCUCUUCACACAUGCGCACACACACACACACACACACACACAUUUACACACACAGGCAUGCAAAUAUGCACACUCACCCAAAUUCAUCCCCAGAUACCUAGCCUUGAGGCUUUCCUUCUCUGAACUGUUUUUCAGUAGGUUGUAACUCAACUGAGUGAUGGUGAUUAUCUGAACAUCAAUAUGAAAGAGAGCGUUUUUACUCAAAUUUUAAGUCUUAAAUAUAGAGCUUUCAAAAUGUAGUGCUAUUGAUCAAAUGUCAAUUUUGUGUAUUUUCUUACAUCUUUUAUCUUGCAAGUAAUAAAUUAGGAUAAUCCAAAAUUAUCCAAUCUCCUUUUUUUCCUAACUCACUUUGGCUGUUAUUUUACCAUUUGCUUUAGAUGUAAAUCUUUACAUACUACAUUGUUUUGGAAAUUCUGGAGCCCCUGGCAAGACUACUUUCCUUACAUAGUUUUUCCUUUUUAACAUCUGCCAAAGUAUACAGCCUUACUAUAAGGUGUCUAUUAUUACUCUAGUGAGAUGUUUAAAUACCUUAAUUAGUGUAAAUGUUGUAAACUAACCCCAGUAUACCUCAUUAACUAGCUAUAUUCAGUCAUACUACUGCCAGGAAGAAUUGGCAGGGUAUAGCUU